GACGAACGCUGGCGGCGUGCUUAACACAUGCAAGUCGAACGGAAAGGCCCUGCUUUUGUGGGGUGCUCGAGUGGCGAACGGGUGAGUAACACGUGAGUAACCUGCCCUUGACUUUGGGAUAACUUCAGGAAACUGGGGCUAAUACCGGAUAGGAGCUCCUGCUGCAUGGUGGGGGUUGGAAAGUUUCGGCGGUUGGGGAUGGACUCGCGGCUUAUCAGCUUGUUGGUGGGGUAGUGGCUUACCAAGGCUUUGACGGGUAGCCGGCCUGAGAGGGUGACCGGCCACAUUAGGACUGAGAUACGGCCCAGACUCCUACGGGAGGCAACAGAGGAGAAUAUUGCACAAUGGGCGGAAGCCUGGUGCGGCAACGCCGCGUGCGGGAUGACGGCCUUCGGGUUGUAAACCGCUUUCGCCUGUGACGAAGCGUGAGUGACGGUAAUGGGUAAAGAAGCACCGGCUAACUACGUG
RNAcentral lists this ribosomal RNA (468 nucleotides) under uncultured bacterium. RNAcentral describes it as "partial 16S ribosomal RNA". It matches the Rfam family "Bacterial small subunit ribosomal RNA", at positions 28 to 507 of the family's 1533-position model. The record is from RNAcentral.